RNAcentral lists this ribosomal RNA (273 nucleotides) under uncultured marine eukaryote. Its description in RNAcentral is "partial 18S ribosomal RNA". It matches the Rfam family "Eukaryotic small subunit ribosomal RNA", at positions 619 to 904 of the family's 1831-position model. The record is from RNAcentral.
UUAAAAAGCUCGUAGUUGGAUUUCUGGGAGGGUGCCAAUGUCCGCCGACGUGCGUGCGCAGCGGCGCCCUUCCAUCCUUCUGUUAACGCCUCGCGGCAUUCAUUUGCUGGUGGCGGGCUCAGAUAUUUUACCUUGAGAAAAUUAGAGUGUUUCAGGCAGGCUAGGCCGGAAUACAUUAGCAUGGAAUAAUGGAAUAGGACUACGGUCUCUUUGUUGGUUUGAGGGACUGCAGUAAUGAUUAAUAGGGAUAGUUGGGGGCAUAGUAUUAAUGUC